CUGUGGCCUCCCUCCCCUGAAAUUUUUCUUAAAUUUGGCACUGACAUCUCUCAGCAUGAGAAGACGAACAGAGAUGUCAUUGCCAAUUUUAAAAGCAUUUCAAGGGAACCCGGACUUCCUGAAAGGCCAUGG
Molecule: non-coding RNA, 132 nt
Organism: Marchantia polymorpha subsp. ruderalis
Lineage: Eukaryota; Viridiplantae; Streptophyta; Marchantiopsida; Marchantiales; Marchantiaceae
Source: the annotation of a GenBank genome assembly